This is a long non-coding RNA of Parus major (Great Tit), 1423 nucleotides long. RefSeq lists it as uncharacterized. The transcript has 3 exons. NCBI's taxonomy places the organism in Eukaryota, Metazoa, Chordata, Aves, Passeriformes, Paridae. The record is from RefSeq and is a predicted model, not a curated record.
CCAGAAAACUCCUCCCAAGGCACAGCAGCCCCAAAACCCUUUCCCUUUUCCUGCUCUGAUCCAUGUUUUCCCUAAUUCCAGGUGUUUUUGGGAAGGAUCCUCACACCCCUUUCCCUUUUCCCUCCUCUGAUCCAUGUUUUCCAUAAUUCCAGGUGUUUUUUGGGAAGGAGGAGCGGUGGAUCCUCACACCUUUUUCCCUUUUCCCUCCUCUGAUCCAUAUUUUCCAUAAUUCCAGGUGUUUUUUGGGAAGGCAGGAGCUGUGGAUCCUCACACCCUCUCUCCCAUCUCUGAUCCCAUAUUUCCAUAAUUCCAGGUGUUUUUGGGAAGGAUCCUCACACCCCUUUCCCUUUUCCAUCUCUGAUCCAUGUUUUCCCUAAUUCCAGGUGUUUUUUGGGAAGGAUCCUCACACCUUUUCCCAUCUCUGAUCCAUGUUUUCCCUAAUUCCAGGUAUUUUUGGGAAGGAGCAGCCGUGGAUCCUCACAGUCUCUCUCCCAGCUCUGAUCCAUGUUUUCCGUAAUUCCAGGUGUUUUUUGGGAAGACAGGAGCCCAGCUCUGAUCCAGAUUUCCCCAAUUCCAGGUAUUUUUGGGAAGGAGCAGCUGUGGAUCCUCACACCUUUUCCCAUCUCUAAUCCCAUAUUUUCCCUAAUUCCAGGUGUUUUUUGGGAAGGAGCAGCCGUGGAUCCUCACACCUUUUCCCAUCUCUAAUCCCAUAUUUCCCUAAUUCCAGGUAUUUUUGGGAAGGAGCAGCCGUGGAUCCUCAAUCCCAUCUCUAAUCCCAUAUUUUCCCUAAUUCCAGGUGUUUUUUGGGAAGGAUCCUCACACCUUUUCCCCCUCUCAUCCAUAUUUUCCCUAAUUCCAGGUGUUUUUUGGGAAGGAGCAGCCGUGGAUCCUCAAUCCCCUUUCCCUUUUCCCAUCACUAAUCCCAGAUUUCCAUAAUUCCAGGUAUUUUUGGGAAGGAGCAGCCGUGGAUCCUCAAUCCCAUCACUAAUCCCAUAUUUCCAUAAUUCCAGGUAUUUUUGGGAAGGAUCCUCACACCUUUUCCCCCUCUCAUCCAUAUUUUCCCCAAUUCCAGGUGUUUUUGGGAAGGAGCAGCUGUGGAUCCUCACACCCUCUCUCCCUGCUCUAAUCCCAGAUUUCCCUAAUUCCAGGUGUUUUUUGGGAAGGAGCAGCCGUGGAUCCUCACACCUUUUCCCCCUCUCAUCCAUAUUUUCCCCAAUUCCAGGUAUUUUGGGGAAGGAGCAGCCGUGGAUCCUCAAUCCCCUUUCCCUUUUCCCAUCACUAAUCCCAGAUUUCCCUAAUUCCAGGUAUUUUUGGGAAGGAGCAGCCGUGGAUCCUCACACCUUUUCCCAUCUCUAAUCCCAUAUUUCCAUAAUUCCAGGUAUUUUUGGGAAGCAGCAGCCGUGGAUCCUCUCUCCCAUCUCUA